RNAcentral lists this ribosomal RNA (503 nucleotides) under uncultured bacterium. RNAcentral describes it as "partial 16S ribosomal RNA". It matches the Rfam family "Bacterial small subunit ribosomal RNA", at positions 30 to 523 of the family's 1533-position model. The record is from RNAcentral.
AUUGAACGCUGGCGGCAGGCUUAACACAUGCAAGUCGAGCGGGGUGAUGGUGCUUGCACUAUCACUUAGCGGCGGACGGGUGAGUAAUGCUUAGGAAUCUGCCUAUUAGUGGGGGACAACACCUCGAAAGGGAUGCUAAUACCGCAUACGUCCUACGGGAGAAAGCAGGGGAUCACUUGUGACCUUGCGCUAAUAGAUGAGCCUAAGUCGGAUUAGCUAGUUGGUGGGGUAAAGGCCUACCAAGGCGACGAUCUGUAGCGGGUCUGAGAGGAUGAUCCGCCCCACUGGAACUGAGACACGGCCCAGACUCCUACGGGAGGCAGCAGUGGGGAAUAUUGGACAAUGGGGGGAACCCUGAUCCAGCCAUGCCGCGUGUGUGAAGAAGGCCUUAUGGUUGUAAAGCACUUUAAGCGAGGAGGAGGCUCUUUUGGUUAAUACCCAAGAUGAGUGGACGUUACUCGCAGAAUAAGCACCGGCUAACUCUGUGCCAGCCGCCGCCGUAA